RNAcentral lists this ribosomal RNA (646 nucleotides) under uncultured bacterium. Its description in RNAcentral is "bacterial SSU rRNA". It matches the Rfam family "Bacterial small subunit ribosomal RNA", at positions 231 to 878 of the family's 1533-position model. The record is from RNAcentral.
AUGCGUCUGAUUAGCUUGUUGGCGGGGUAACGGCCCACCAAGGCGACGAUCAGUAGGGGUUCUGAGAGGAAGGUCCCCCACAUUGGAACUGAGACACGGUCCAAACUCCUACGGGAGGCAGCAGUGAGGAAUAUUGGUCAAUGGGCGAGAGCCUGAACCAGCCAAGUAGCGUGCAGGAAGACGGCCCUAUGGGUUGUAAACUGCUUUUAUGCGGGGAUAAAGUGAGCCACGUGUGGCUUAUUGCAGGUACCGCAUGAAUAAGGACCGGCUAAUUCCGUGCCAGCAGCCGCGGUAAUACGGAAGGUCCGGGCGUUAUCCGGAUUUAUUGGGUUUAAAGGGAGCGUAGGCCGUCUGAUAAGCGUGUUGUGAAAUGUCGGGGCUCAACCUGGGCAUUGCAGCGCGAACUGUCAGACUUGAGUGCGCGGGAAGUAGGCGGAAUUCGUCGUGUAGCGGUGAAAUGCUUAGAUAUGACGAAGAACUCCGAUUGCGAAGGCAGCCUGCUGUAGCGCAACUGACGCUGAAGCUCGAAAGCGUGGGUAUCGAACAGGAUUAGAUACCCUGGUAGUCCACGCGGUAAACGAUGGAUGCUCGCUGUUUGCGUCUGACGUAAGCGGCCAAGCGAAAGCGUUAAGCAUCCCACCUGGGG